RNAcentral lists this long non-coding RNA (297 nucleotides) under Elaeis guineensis (African oil palm). Its description in RNAcentral is "long non-coding RNA (EGUI_LNC072038)". Lineage: Eukaryota; Viridiplantae; Streptophyta; Magnoliopsida; Arecales; Arecaceae. The record is from RNAcentral.
AUAAAUUUCUGUACCAAUCGAAGUGACCAUCUAGUAAUGGUACCCGACGAUCGGAUAGGUCGAAUGUGUAGAACAACAUCCUUAGAACCCAUGCGGAUAUAAUUUUCAUAUAAUUCAUCCCCUUGACCAAAAUGAUCAUAGGACAACCCAGAGUUUAACUAUCAACUCUGAUCAGGUUGUCCACAUUGUAUUUCAAAAUAUCAAAUCCAUCUGAUGGAUUACCCUGGCCAAGGUUUUGCUAAAUUGAAAUACAGCGACUCAUUCUUCUCCAACUCUUGGAGUGGUCAAUCCCAUCUC